Molecule: unclassified non-coding RNA, 283 nt
Filed under: plant metagenome
Description: partial contains small subunit ribosomal RNA, internal transcribed spacer 1, and 5.8S ribosomal RNA
Rfam family: 5.8S ribosomal RNA (bases 235-283)
Source: RNAcentral
UUUCCGUAGGUGAACCUGCGGAAGGAUCAUUAUUGUAUAACCGAGGUGCGAGGGCUGUCGCUGACCCGAAAGGUCGUGCACGCCCGAGUGCCCUCACACACAUCCAUCUCACCCCUAUGUGCACCACCGCGUGGGUCCCCCUUUGGCUUGUUCGGAGGGGGGCUUACGUUUUCACACAAACUUUGUAUGCAGUGUAGAAUGUAUUUUUUGUUUUUGCGAUCACGCAAUCAAUACAACUUUCAACAACGGAUCUCUUGGCUCUCGCAUCGAUGAAGAGCGCAGC